This is a non-coding RNA of Vicugna pacos (alpaca), 216 nucleotides long. The record is from RefSeq and is a predicted model, not a curated record. Lineage: Eukaryota; Metazoa; Chordata; Mammalia; Artiodactyla; Camelidae.
CCAAGUUAUAAUUUUGAAAGAUGAAGAAAAAAAAUAGAAAAAAAGUCAAAUCAUCAAAUAACCACUGACCCAGAGGGUGGACCUCUGAAACCCCACGCCCUCUAGGAGUGGGGCCCGGGGCGGGUCACUGUAAACAGAGUGGUAAGGCCUAUGGGUAGAAGUGGAAACAUGAGACCUGGUGGGGGGGGCCUGGCUGACCUUCCCAGACCCAGGCUG